Non-coding RNA from Chanos chanos (milkfish), 360 nucleotides. Lineage: Eukaryota; Metazoa; Chordata; Actinopteri; Gonorynchiformes; Chanidae. The record is from the annotation of a RefSeq genome assembly.
AUGUUCUCCUCCUCUCUGGUACUGCUGCUGUUGCUGCUGGCAGCUGUAAACAGACUCUACUGUGUUGAACUGAACCAGCCUGAUUCUAUGCUUGUGAAGCCUGGUCAGAUUUUGACUUUGUCCUGUAAGGUCUCUGGAUAUUCACUAACUGAUAGCAGAUACUGCACAAACUGGAUAAAAAAAACCUCAUUGUAUUGGAUCAGAAGAGUAUGUGGUAGUGGUAACACAGUGUACAGUGAAAAACUGAAGAACAAGUUUCAGGUCUUCAGAGAUACUUCCAGCAGUACAGUGUCUCUGCGAGGACAAAGCCCGCAGACUGAGGACACAGUUGUGUAUUACUGUGCUCAACUGUCACAGUGA